RNAcentral lists this ribosomal RNA (468 nucleotides) under uncultured bacterium. RNAcentral's name for it is "partial 16S ribosomal RNA". It matches the Rfam family "Bacterial small subunit ribosomal RNA", at positions 28 to 507 of the family's 1533-position model. The record is from RNAcentral.
GACGAACGCUGGCGGCGUGCUUAACACAUGCAAGUCGAACGGACAGGCGCUGCUCUUGUGGGGUGCUCGAAUGGCGAACGGGUGAGUAACACGUGAGUAACCUGCCCUUGACUUUGGGAUAACUUCAGGAAACUGGGGCUAAUAACGGAUAGGAGCUCCUGCUGCACGGUGGGGGUUGGAAAGUUUCGGCGGUGGGGGCUGGACUCGCGGCUUAUCAGCUGGUUGGUGGGGUAGUGGCUUACAAAGCCUUUGACGGGUAGCCGGCCUGGGAGGGUGACCGGCCACAUUGGGACUGAGAUACGGCCCAGACUCCUACGGGAGGCAGCAGUCGGGAAUAUUGCACAAUGGGCGGAAGCCUGAUGCAGCAACGCCGCGUGCGUGAUAACGGCCUUCGGGUUGUAAACCGCUUUCUCCUGUGACGAAGCGCGAGUGACGGUAAUGGGUAAAGAAGCACCGGCUAACUACGUG